This 195-nucleotide ribosomal RNA is filed under the name Triticum aestivum (bread wheat). RNAcentral's name for it is "partial small subunit ribosomal RNA". The record is from RNAcentral. Lineage: Eukaryota; Viridiplantae; Streptophyta; Magnoliopsida; Poales; Poaceae.
AUGCUUGGUGUGCCAUCUCCAUGGAUGAAACGAUCGAAACAGAUCAAACCAAGACCAUGUUUUGGGAGAGGAUCACCGACUUCUACAACUCCUCCGCGGACGUGUGAUCAAGCCGUACACAUGGUUUGCUUGGGCAUCGUUGGAGCACCAUCCAUGAUCAAUGCAACCGAUGGUCCGGUUGCAUCGACCAAGUGA